AACUAGUAGUAACACACUUUAAUCCAAUAAAAUAAUGCACUUUAAAAGUUAUAAUAAAAUGCAAAAUGAAAUAUUGGCUUCAAUUCAAGUACAUUUACAAACGUUAUAUGACUAACAGGGUAACGUGAGCUGUCACUCACAAGUUGAAAAAAAUUGACAACGCCAAUGUAAAAACGAAAAACAAACAAAAGACAAACAACUUACGUCGUUAGAUAUAAGAAGAUGUGGUAUUAGUGCCAAUGAGACAACGCUCCUUCCAAGUCAUUAUUUGUAAAAGUAAAACAUGUAUUGUCUUGAAUCUAUAUCUAUGAUGUCAAGUUCUUGAGUCGGUUUCACAAAAAAAAACUUUUACGAUUAAAAUUGUUCGCAAGUUAUGAACAAUUCAGUAUACUUACGAUCAAUCUUAGUCGCAAGUAUUUUUGUGAAAUCGACUGUCCUUUUCUU
This 444-nucleotide long non-coding RNA is filed under the name Mytilus galloprovincialis (Mediterranean mussel). Lineage: Eukaryota; Metazoa; Mollusca; Bivalvia; Mytilida; Mytilidae. The record is from RNAcentral.